Molecule: long non-coding RNA, 1302 nt
Filed under: Musa acuminata (dwarf banana)
Lineage: Eukaryota; Viridiplantae; Streptophyta; Magnoliopsida; Zingiberales; Musaceae
Description: long non-coding RNA (MACU_LNC003853)
Source: RNAcentral
UGGAGGAGGAGAAUCCCUUACGUCGAUAAAUCUUUUGUCAAGUGUCUUCUUCAGCUCUGCAAGUGUUUCCAAACCACUUAUAUCUAUUGCUGUUACGGCUGUAUGGAUUUGGAGCUUAUGGUUAGUGUACAAAUAAUAGAUUAAAUUUCUCUGGGCCACUUGUACAGUAAACCUAUUUGUUAAUCUUAGGAUGAGUAUUUUCUGAUUAUAAUUCUACGUACCAGCCAUGUCCAGUAUAAUGCAUUUAAGGGAACUCUCAUUCAACUUUUUGAUUUUCUCUUCCUCUUCUCGAACCCAUCUCAAGAUCCUGCGCAUAAGAAUAACAAUACAUGUAACUUUUAUCAAGAACGAAUACAGCUGUGUUCAGAGAAUUUGAUCAUCAGUUGCUCUAUUAAUUAGUCACUAGCCGAAAGAGAUGCAAAUCUUGCACCUUGGGCAAUUAGAUGUAGACCAAUAUAGAUAAAAAAUAGGCCUGCUCUAAACUGGAAGUGCCUUCAGGUUCAGGUGUUUUUGGAUUCCCAAUCUCAAGCUAGCUUUAUAUCUAUUUCAAAGCAAUACUUAUGCUCUAAUUUUUACAGUUAGCAUUCUGCCCGUUUUUCAGUGACCAUUUAUUCAGCUAAAUCAUUUCAUUCUCUGGGUUAUAUUUGAUCCAUGAACUCUAAUAAGGCAAUUUAAGGUGUAGGUGAGUACUGUAAAGUUUUGUUGGCCCUUAUAUCUGGAUUACAAAGAUUCUGAAUAAUGGCAAGAUCUUGAAUGUGUUACCAAAUACUGACACCAGCCCAAACUAACCUUUCUUGCAGAUAUAUUGAAUUGGUGAAAUAGAUGGGGGAUUCAAUGCCAAGGAUUAGAAAUGAAGGCAGCUGUACAGCCUCCCUGUAUUGCGCCAGAUUUCUGUAACUGUUUGUUCCUGGGACAUUCCCCAUGAUCACUGUGUUUGGCCUAGUAACAUGAACCAGAAUUUUGAAUAAAGAUACGCCCACCUGCAAAACAUGGAAAGAUUAUAAAACAGCAAAUUUUGGCGUAGUUAAAGGUACAUAUCAUCGAACUGGAAUGCUUCCCUUGGUUUGUUAAAGCAGAAACUGCAGUAGAAUAAUGAAGAAUGCUUACAGCUAUGGCGAGGCCCGUCUGUACUGAGAUGAGAAGAACCCCAAAGAAAGCACUCAUACAAGCCAGGAAAUCAAAUUUAUCCACCUUCCACAGCAGAAAUGCACCUCGAACAUCGAUCAGUCCGAUCACUGCAACAAUAAUGAUCGCCGACAACAUGACGUUGGGAGUAUAAUAGAACAGUGGCAUGAGAAAUAG